Molecule: ribosomal RNA, 368 nt
Filed under: uncultured bacterium
Lineage: Bacteria
Description: bacterial SSU rRNA
Rfam family: Bacterial small subunit ribosomal RNA
Source: RNAcentral
GAUUAACGCUGGCGGCGUGCCUAACACAUGCAAGUCGAACGAGGUAGCAAUACCUAGUGGCAGACGGGUGAGUAACGCGUGGUCAACCUACCGUUGUGUGGGGGAUAACUAGCCGAAACGGUUAGCUAAUACCGCAUACGUCUCCGAGCGGCGAUCGCUCGGCGAUAAAAGGAAGCAAUCCGCACGACGACGGGACCGCGUCCCAUUAGCUAGAUGGUGGGGUAACGGCCUACCAUGGCNCCGAUGGUAGCUGGUUUGAGAGAGCGACCAGCCACACUGGGACUGAGAAACGGCCCAGACUCCUACGGGAGGCAGCAGUGAGGAAUUUUCCGCAAUGGGCGAAAGCCUGACGGAGCGACGCCGCGUGU